RNAcentral lists this ribosomal RNA (382 nucleotides) under Binatia bacterium. Its description in RNAcentral is "bacterial SSU rRNA". It matches the Rfam family "Bacterial small subunit ribosomal RNA", at positions 1 to 363 of the family's 1533-position model. The record is from RNAcentral. Lineage: Bacteria; Candidatus Binatota; Binatia (SeqCode).
AAACUGGAGAGUUUGAUCCUGGCUCAGAGCGAACGCUGGCGGCGUGCUUAACACAUGCAAGUCGAGGGAGAAUGGAGGGCUUCGGCCUUCUUAGUAAACCGGCGCACGGGUGAGUAACACGUAGGUAACCUACCUCCGAGUUCGGGAUAACCUGUCGAAAGAUAGGCUAAUACCGGAUAAGACCACGAUGGCUUCGGCCACUGCGGUCAAAGAUGGCCUCUAUUUAUAUGCUAUCGCUUGGGGAUGGGCCUGCGCACCAUUAGCUAGUUGGUGAGGUAAUGGCUCACCAAGGCUACGAUGGUUAGUUGGUCUGAGAGGAUGACCAGCCACACUGGGACUGAGACACGGCCCAGACUCCUACGGGAGGCAGCAGUGGGGAAUA